Molecule: ribosomal RNA, 253 nt
Filed under: uncultured bacterium
Lineage: Bacteria
Description: partial 16S ribosomal RNA
Rfam family: Bacterial small subunit ribosomal RNA
Source: RNAcentral
UACGAAGGGGGCUAGCGUUGUUCGGAAUCACUGGGCGUAAAGCGCACGUAGGCGGAUCUUUAAGUCAGGGGUGAAAUCCCGAGGCUCAACCUCGGAACUGCCUUUGAUACUGGCGAUCUCGAGUCCGGGAGAGGUGAGUGGAACUGCGAGUGUAGAGGUGAAAUUCGUAGAUAUUGGGAGGAACACCAGUGGCGAAGGCGGCUCACUGGACUGGUACUGACGCUGAUGCGCGAAAGCGUGGGGAGCAAACGGG